RNAcentral lists this ribosomal RNA (459 nucleotides) under uncultured bacterium. Its description in RNAcentral is "partial 16S ribosomal RNA". It matches the Rfam family "Bacterial small subunit ribosomal RNA", at positions 338 to 795 of the family's 1533-position model. The record is from RNAcentral.
CCUACGGGAGGCUGCAGUGAGGAAUAUUGGUCAAUGGGAGAGAUCCUGAACCAGCCAAGCCGCGUGAGGGAAGACUGCCCUAUGGGUUGUAAACCUCUUUUGUCGGAGAACAAAACCCGGGACGUGUCCCGGGCUGCGUGUAUCCGAAGAAAAAGCAUCGGCUAACUCCGUGCCAGCGGCCGCGGUAAUACGGAGGAUGCGAGCGUUAUCCGGAUUUAUUGGGUUUAAAGGGUGCGUAGGCGGUCCGUUAAGUCAGCGGGAAAAUUGCGGGGCCAAACCCCGUCGAGCCGUUGAAACUGGCAGACUUGAGUUGGCGAGAAGUACGCGGAAUGCGCGGUGUAGCGGUGAAAUGCAUAGAUAGCGCGCAGAACUCCGAUUGCGAAGGCAGCGUACUGGCGCCAGACUGACGCUGAGGCACGAAAGCGUGGGGAUCGAACAGGAUUAGAUACCCUUGUAGUC